AGUGAACGCUGGCGGUAGGCCUAACACAUGCAAGUCGAACGGCAGCACAGUAAGAGCUUGCUCUUACGGGUGGCGAGUGGCGGACGGGUGAGGAAUACAUCGGAAUCUACUUUUUCGUGGGGGAUAACGUAGGGAAACUUACGCUAAUACCGCAUACGACCUACGGGUGAAAGCAGGGGAUCUUCGGACCUUGCGCGAUUGAAUGAGCCGAUGUCGGAUUAGCUAGUUGGCGGGGUAAAGGCCCACCAAGGCAACGAUCCGUAGCUGGUCUGAGAGGAUGAUCAGCCACACUAGAACUGAGACACGGUCCAGACUCCUACGGGAGGCAGCAGUGGGGAAUAUUGGACAAUGGGCGCAAGCCUGAUCCAGCCAUACCGCGUGGGUGAAGAAGGCCUUCGGGUUGUAAAGCCCUUUUGUUGGGAAAGAAAAGCAGCAGGUUAAUACCCCGCUGUUCUGACGGUACCCAAAGAAUAAGCACCGGCUAACUUCGUG
RNAcentral lists this ribosomal RNA (492 nucleotides) under uncultured bacterium. RNAcentral describes it as "partial 16S ribosomal RNA". It matches the Rfam family "Bacterial small subunit ribosomal RNA", at positions 29 to 507 of the family's 1533-position model. The record is from RNAcentral.